AGAGGAUAGUGACAUGAAGAAUGAGAAGAAAAGUGGAGGUGAUCACAUGGAGUAUUCAUGCCAGAUUAAGCCUUGUUAUUUAAGACUCUUGAACUAGCGUCUUACAAGGUUUCUGGAAAAGCUUUGCGUUGUGUGUGAGAGCUAUGGAGGAAAGGCAUCAUUAUGGAGGAAUCCUAAUUGUAAAUUGAACCACAUAAUUUUCUCCAUCCCCAAAUUAGCAGUAUAAGCAGGUUACUUCUUUUCCUAGCCAAGAUGGCAGAUAGGAAAUUGUGACUGCAUUUUGGCCGUCCCAGGGCAAGAACUCAAGUUUCAGUGCAAGACCUUCACUAUUGGCUUCAGCUACUUCACGGAAUUGUACUUGUGGGCUCAGAUGGGCUGAGGACCUGGGAGACAGACAAUUGGGACCAGCAGUUGGGUGUGGACUCUCUCAAAAAAGCAAUACUUUACGUGCUCUUGGAAGUC
Molecule: long non-coding RNA, 462 nt
Filed under: Anas platyrhynchos platyrhynchos (common mallard)
Lineage: Eukaryota; Metazoa; Chordata; Aves; Anseriformes; Anatidae
Description: lncRNA (ENSAPLG00000029943.1)
Source: RNAcentral